AGCCCUGUAACUCAGUUGGGAGAGUGCCUUUCUUACAAAGAGGAAGUCGCGGGUUCAAACCCUGCCGGGGCUACCA
This 76-nucleotide transfer RNA is filed under the name Scytonema hofmannii PCC 7110. RNAcentral's name for it is "tRNA-Val". It matches the Rfam family "tRNA". Rfam says of the family: Transfer RNA (tRNA) molecules are approximately 80 nucleotides in length. Their secondary structure includes four short double-helical elements and three loops (D, anti-codon, and T loops). Lineage: Bacteria; Bacillati; Cyanobacteriota; Cyanophyceae; Nostocales; Scytonemataceae. The record is from RNAcentral. RNAcentral also lists the same sequence under 1 other name.